This 333-nucleotide ribosomal RNA is filed under the name Triticum aestivum (bread wheat). RNAcentral's name for it is "partial small subunit ribosomal RNA". Lineage: Eukaryota; Viridiplantae; Streptophyta; Magnoliopsida; Poales; Poaceae. The record is from RNAcentral.
AUGCCUGUUAGCUAUACUACCUUGAGAAACUCCGAUUGGGAGUUCAUUGUUUGCAAAUAUUUGAAAAGAUUUGAUGCUUGGGUAGGUAAUGCUGCCUCCAUGGGAGGGAGACACAGUUUAGUUGACUCUGUUGUCACUCAGAUAUCCUUGUACCAUAUGUCCAUGUGGCUGAUGAACAAAACGUUCAUUGAGAGAUUGGAUAAACAUAGAAGAAGAUUCUUCUGGCAAGGUUGUACCAAAAAAGAGAUACUAUCUUGUGAGAUGGAACAGGAUUUGCAGAUCCAAAGAAAAGGGUGGUCUAGGUAUCAAAGACCUGCGCAAACAGAACAUUAG